RNAcentral lists this ribosomal RNA (497 nucleotides) under uncultured bacterium. Its description in RNAcentral is "partial 16S ribosomal RNA". It matches the Rfam family "Bacterial small subunit ribosomal RNA", at positions 28 to 507 of the family's 1533-position model. The record is from RNAcentral.
GACGAACGCUGGCGGCGUGCCUAAUACAUGCAAGUUGAGCGAUGAAGAUUGGUGCUUGCACCAAUUUGAAGAGCAGCGAGCGGGUGAGUAACGCGUGGGGAAUCUGCCUUUGAGCGGGGGACAACAUUUGGAAACGAAUGCUAAUACCGCAUAACAACUUUAAACAUAAGUUUUAAGUUUGAAAGAUGCAAUUGCAUCACUCAAAGAUGAUCCCGCGUUGUAUUAGCUAGUUGGUGAGGUAAAGGCUCACCAAGGCGAUGAUACAUAGCCGACCUGAGAGGGUGAUCGGCCACAUUGGGACUGGGACACGGCCCAAACUCCUACGGGAGGCAGCAGUAGGGAAUCUUCGGCAAUGGACGAAAGUCUGACCGAGCAACGCCGCGUGAGUGAAGAAGGUUUUCGGAUCCGAAAACUCUGUUGGUAGAGAAGAACGUUGGUGAGAGUGGAAAGCUCAUCAAGUGACGGUAACUACCCAGAAAGGGACGGCUAACUACGUG